Molecule: transfer RNA, 84 nt
Filed under: Candidatus Woesearchaeota archaeon
Lineage: Archaea; Nanobdellati; Candidatus Woesearchaeota
Description: tRNA-Phe
Rfam family: tRNA
About the family: Transfer RNA (tRNA) molecules are approximately 80 nucleotides in length.
Source: RNAcentral
GCCGCGGUCGCAUAAUCCGGUAUUGCGGGUGACUGAAACCCACCUGCCAGUGAUGGUGUCUGGGUUCAAAUCCCAGCCGCGGCG